This 532-nucleotide ribosomal RNA is filed under the name uncultured fungus. RNAcentral's name for it is "SSU rRNA". It matches the Rfam family "Eukaryotic small subunit ribosomal RNA", at positions 109 to 644 of the family's 1831-position model. The record is from RNAcentral. Lineage: Eukaryota; Fungi.
GUUAUCGUUUAUUUGAUAGUACCUUACUACUUGGAUAACCGUGGUAAUUCUAGAGCUAAUACAUGCUGAAAACCCCAACUUCGGGAGGGGUGUAUUUAUUAGAUAAAAAACCAACGCCCUUCGGGGCUUCUUGGUGAUUCAUGAUAACUUCACGGAUCGCAUGGCCUUGCGCCGGCGACGGUUCAUUCAAAUUUCUGCCCUAUCAACUUUCGAUGGUAAGGUAUUGGCUUACCAUGGUUUCAACGGGUAACGGGGAAUUAGGGUUCGAUUCCGGAGAGGGAGCCUGAGAAACGGCUACCACAUCCAAGGAAGGCAGCAGGCGCGCAAAUUACCCAAUCCCGACACGGGGAGGUAGUGACAAUAAAUACUGAUACAGGGCUCUUUUGGGUCUUGUAAUUGGAAUGAGUACAAUUUAAACCUCUUAACGAGGAACAAUUGGAGGGCAAGUCUGGUGCCAGCAGCCGCGGUAAUCCCAGCUCCAAUAGCGUAUAUUAAAGUUGUUGCAGUUAAAAAGCUCGUAGUUGAAACUUGG